Non-coding RNA from Pseudonaja textilis, 1063 nucleotides. The record is from RefSeq and is a predicted model, not a curated record. Lineage: Eukaryota; Metazoa; Chordata; Lepidosauria; Squamata; Elapidae.
CAGCAUGGAUAUGCUUGUUGCCUUGAGUUGUUUGUAAAAAUAAUAAAGGCAGGAUAUAAAUAAAUGAAUUAAAACAAUAGAACUAAGAAUACAUUGGCUUCUAGAGGCUGCCGUUCCUAUCCUUAUUGCCCCCCACACCACCAAUUGGAUAAAAACACCCCAUUCUUUUGUCUUAAGAGCAAGAAUAGUUUGAUUUUCAUAUUUCUCUGUUCAAUAUUCCCACCUUUAAACAACCUAACAAUCAAAAUGGGUUGAAAAAAAAUAAUAUCGUUACUGGUCAAUGUCCUGCAAGCUUCCAAAAUGUUGAGCUGUUGAAAGUGUAUCAUUGCCUGCUGCUGAUUGAUGGCUUAACUCAGGAGUACACAUCCUCCCUCUCCCAAAUAUUACAGCUGCCUAAUAGAGCUGUAAAAAAAUCAGUCUUAUUUUAUGAUAGCUGGGGAUAUCUGUAGCUCAGGAUUGAACUGUGGGAUCCUUGGUGUUCUCUGGGCUUGGUGCUUUUCCUUUCCUAGUUUCAUUAUCAAAUUAAGUAACAUCAGUGCUAGAAGGGAGUGGAGAGGGUUGCCUGUUACAUGAAAAAAAAAUCUACUUCUGUUGUGUCUUUGUGCCUGUUGUACAGUAAAUAAAAUAAUAGAAGGGGAUCUAUCAUAAUCUAGUUUGCAGAACGUAAGGUAUGGGCAAGAAGCCAAGGUUCCUGUGCACACUGCCAUAUUCUCUCCUCUCUGGCGACCCCUAGGUUUAUCGGAGGCCAUGUGUGUUCAGAUUUGGAGAGGUCACAAUUGUUGGUCUGGAAGAACUGGAAUUGGAAAUAAAGUUCAGAUUCUAAUUUCUGCAAACCAAGAAUGUGUUGAUUAAUGAAAGAUGAAUUAAAUCUUGCAACUGUGGGCACUUGCAGGUGGCAAGGGACUUUGCAUGCAUCACAAUCUCAUCAGACAAAUGAUGUAGAAGACAUAAUUCAAAUCAUUUGCUCAAAGAUGUGCUCUCUAUGAUAUCAAGACUUCUGACCACCCGGGCUUUCAUCUUAAAGGGCCACUUGCAAUAGGGACAGGGGUGGGAUUCUCCAGUU